Molecule: long non-coding RNA, 1046 nt
Filed under: Homo sapiens (human)
Lineage: Eukaryota; Metazoa; Chordata; Mammalia; Primates; Hominidae
Description: HSALNT0183718
Source: RNAcentral
GUUUGAGAAACAAUAAAGCACUUCACAGCACUGGCUCUGGGGAAGCUGCUGCGCUGUGGAGGGGCCGUGUGCUGAGGGCUGGAGCUGUGGCUGAUGGCCUGGGAGCAGGUUUGGAUCCUCAGAUGGCUGCAAUCCCUGCUGGCACUGUGACUGCUGGGUCUCCUGAGAGACUCUGACCCGAAAACACUCAGCGAAGACCCUCUCAGAUUCCCGACCCACAGAAACUGUGAGAUAGUAAGUGUUUGCUGUUUGAGUUCACUGAGUUUGGGAUAAUUUGUUCUACAGCAAGGAAUAACUAAUGUAUGUGGCUCUGCGUUUUGCCUGUAUAGAAGGCAAAGGCUUGGUCGUCCGGCAGACAAGAGCUCAAGCCGAGAAAAACACUCCAGGGCCCCAUUUUCCAGCCUGGUGCUGCAACCACAAAAUUAGGGGUGGGGAGGACGGGAACACUUAGGUUGCCACGCUGUUCCAGUCUCCAGCCUAGCUGUUUUCAAAGCUCAGGUGCCUCUAAUACUCAAGACAAUGCCAUCUGACUGAUGAGGAAGCUGAAACUUCGAUGAUUAGGCCCUGGUAAUGAAUGUCUGCGGUGGUCCCCAUGGUCCUGGUUUCCCUUUGUCUUAUCCCAGAUGCUCAAAAUGCCAGAUUCUAACUUGGCAAGAAGACUCAUCCUCUUUCUUGUAACAUAUUAUAAUCUCUGUCUUCUAUAAAAUACUCAGGCUUCUAGAGAGGAUGGAGAAGAAGCUGGAGUAACAGCAAGUUGGCUCCAGAAAUUGGUUUACAAAGCAGAAAUCCAGAUGUUUUCUCUUUUUUUCUCUCUAAACAUCAAAUCAAGCAGCAGCUUGCAACACUCUGUGUGGCCCAGCUGAAGAAAUUCUAAACAUUGCUUCAAGGAUCUAACUCACAACUCAUCUUAAACCAUCACAAGAAAACUCCCAUUAGAGCGGGAGAGGGGAAGUGUGUGUUAAUGAGCUGAAGUGUGAGAAUGGGAUGAAUAAGCAGAAGCUUGAAUGCAGCACGGAGGCGAAUGAAAUAAUUACCCAGCUUACCAU